This is a small nucleolar RNA of Acomys russatus (golden spiny mouse), 128 nucleotides long. RefSeq annotates it as small nucleolar RNA SNORA17. The record is from RefSeq and is a predicted model, not a curated record. The transcript has a single exon. Lineage: Eukaryota; Metazoa; Chordata; Mammalia; Rodentia; Muridae.
CCUGCCCCUAAAAGCAUUGCAGGUGUGGCUGUUGUGUCACAUGUACGUCACUAGGUGGCAGAGAGGAGCGAGGCUGUGUCUACCCUUAGUGUUCUGACCUAUGCCUGAAGAAAAGCAAGCUUGAGAUG